RNAcentral lists this long non-coding RNA (545 nucleotides) under Equus caballus (horse). RNAcentral describes it as "lncRNA (ENSECAG00000044387.1)". Lineage: Eukaryota; Metazoa; Chordata; Mammalia; Perissodactyla; Equidae. The record is from RNAcentral.
AUGGUUGGAGGGGUACGGAAUGUGUCACUGAGGAGCUAAUAUUUAAGCUGAGUCCUGAAGAACAUGUCCACCAGCGAGGAAGGCAGGGCAGAAGGCAUUUCCUCAGUGGGACCAGCAGGAAAUAAGGCUUUCGUGGCAGCUAGAAAUGAUUUGCCAUUCCAUGUUGUUCAGGACGUGAAUCAUCCCUUUGGUGGAUCCCCAACCACUGAUGUUGUCAUGGCUCGAUGAUCUUCCUUCUGACACAAAGCCUAACGCUACGUCACAAUGCGUACAUCACUCACCUCACUUCAUCUCAUCACGUAGACUUUGUAGCAUCUCACAUCAUCACAAGAAGAAGGGUGAGUAGGGUACAAUAAAAUACUGAGAGAGAGAGACCACAUUCACAUAACUUUUAUUAUGGUGUAUUAUUAUAAUUGUUCUAUUUAUUAUUUAUUGUUAAUCUCUUACUGUGUCUAAUUUAUAAAGUAAACUUUAUCGUAGGUUCAUAUGUAUAGGAAAAAACAUAGCAUACAUAGGGUUUGGUACUGUCCAUGGUUUUAGGCAUC